RNAcentral lists this ribosomal RNA (253 nucleotides) under uncultured bacterium. Its description in RNAcentral is "partial 16S ribosomal RNA". It matches the Rfam family "Bacterial small subunit ribosomal RNA", at positions 524 to 776 of the family's 1533-position model. The record is from RNAcentral.
UACGUAGGUGGCAAGCGUUGUCCGGAAUUAUUGGGCGUAAAGCGCGUGUAGGCGGCUUUGCAAGUCGGGUGUGAAAGCCCUCAGCUCAACUGAGGAAGUGCGCCCGAAACUGCAGAGCUUGAGUACCGGAGAGGAUGGCGGAAUUCCCCAAGUAGAGGUGAAAUUCGUAGAUAUGGGGAGGAACACCGGUGGCGAAGGCGGCAACCUGGUCCUUGACUGACGCUGAGGUGCGAAAGCUAGGGGAGCGAACAGG